Molecule: long non-coding RNA, 624 nt
Filed under: Populus trichocarpa (black cottonwood)
Lineage: Eukaryota; Viridiplantae; Streptophyta; Magnoliopsida; Malpighiales; Salicaceae
Description: long non-coding RNA (PTRI_LNC000338)
Source: RNAcentral
UUGAUACUUGUAAGAUUCAGUGUCUGCCAUACUUGAUUACAUACUCAAGUGCUCUUGAUGAGAGAUUCAAGCUCGUCAUACAUCCAUCCUUGCUGCUUAAGGAAUAGAUUGGUGGAAUCGUUCUCAUCACUUGGCUGGACACAUGAUCUGUAACCACAUAUAAAUUGAAUGGAAGUUCAGUUCAUCGGAAUAUUCAGUGCAAAUAGCUUGCUUGCCCUAAAAGCACUGCACUAUAUGAAGAUGGGAUUCUGUCAGCAUAGGAUUCUCUCUUACAAAAACCAUGAGGCUCCUGGCUUCAUACGUUGGAUCAAGAGUCAACAGGGUGUUUUAAGCUGCCGUUUAGGGGGCAAUUCAGUGCUAAGUCCAAGGAGAGACUCGAGCCCAAAGAAAAGAGCCAGCUGGUUUAGCAAGGAGAGGACAGCUUAAUUUGUGGUAUGCCACAACUUGAACAUUACAAGUUGAAACGAAAUAUUAUAACAUCACGAGGUUUUCUAAACAAAUUCUUCAUCUUCAAGGUUUUCAUGGAAAGAAAAUAGAUGGGUCGACGCCUGACAGAGUCUCAUCUUCUUUCCUUUAAAAAUAAGUUUCACAACGAAAGAGAAUUCCCAUUUGCAUCUUUCGAAG